UAGGGAAUCUUCGGCAAUGGACGAAAGUCUGACCGAGCAACGCCGCGUGAGUGAAGAAGGUUUUCGGAUCGUAAAACUCUGUUGGUAGAGAAGAACGUUGGUGAGAGUGGAAAGCUCAUCAAGUGACGGUAACUACCCAGAAAGGGACGGCUAACUACGUGUCCAG
This 166-nucleotide ribosomal RNA is filed under the name uncultured bacterium. RNAcentral describes it as "partial 16S ribosomal RNA". It matches the Rfam family "Bacterial small subunit ribosomal RNA", at positions 355 to 511 of the family's 1533-position model. The record is from RNAcentral.